GAUGGUAUAGCUCAGUGGUAGAGCACGUGCCUAGCAUACACAAGGUCCUGGGUUCAAUCCCUAGUACCUCCA
This 72-nucleotide transfer RNA is filed under the name Camelus bactrianus (Bactrian camel). It matches the Rfam family "tRNA". Rfam says of the family: Transfer RNA (tRNA) molecules are approximately 80 nucleotides in length. The record is from Rfam by way of RNAcentral. Lineage: Eukaryota; Metazoa; Chordata; Mammalia; Artiodactyla; Camelidae. RNAcentral also lists the same sequence under 1 other name.